RNAcentral lists this ribosomal RNA (327 nucleotides) under uncultured bacterium. RNAcentral's name for it is "bacterial SSU rRNA". It matches the Rfam family "Bacterial small subunit ribosomal RNA", at positions 28 to 334 of the family's 1533-position model. The record is from RNAcentral.
GACGAACGCUGGCGGCGUGCCUAACACAUGCAAGUCGAGCGAAGUGUUUAGGACGGAUUCCUUCGGGAUGAAGACCUAAACAUCUUAGCGGCGGAUGGGUGAGUAACGCGUGAGAAACCUGCCUUUCACAAGGGAAUAGCCUCGGGAAACUGGGAUUAAUACCCUACGAUACAACUUUUUCGCAUGAGAGGGUUGUUAAAGCGUAAAGCGGUGAAAGAUGGUCUCGCGUCCCAUUAGUUAGUUGGUGAGGUAAUGGCUCACCAAGACAACGAUGGGUAACCGGCCUGAGAGGGUGAACGGUCACAUUGGGACUGAGAUACGGCCCAG